AAAUUGAAGAGUUUGAUCAUGGCUCAGAUUGAACGCUGGCGGCAGGCCUAACACAUGCAAGUCGAACGGUAACAGGAAACAGCUUGCUGUUUCGCUGACGAGUGGCGGACGGGUGAGUAAUGUCUGGGAAACUGCCUGAUGGAGGGGGAUAACUACUGGAAACGGUAGCUAAUACCGCAUAACGUCGCAAGACCAAAGAGGGGGACCUUCGGGCCUCUUGCCAUCGGAUGUGCCCAGAUGGGAUUAGCUAGUAGGUGGGGUAACGGCUCACCUAGGCGACGAUCCUAGCUGGUCUGAGAGGAUGACCAGCCACACUGGAACUGAGACACGGUCCAGACUCCUACGGGAGGCAGCAGUGGGGAAUAUUGCACAAUGGGCGCAAGCCUGAUGCAGCCAUGCCGCGUGUAUGAAGAAGGCCUUAGGGUUGUAAAAGUACUUUCAGCGGGGAGGAAGGGAGUAAAGUUAAUACCUUUGCUCAUUGACGUUACCCGCAGAAGAAGCACCGGCUAACUCCGUGCCAGCAGCCGCGGUAAUACGGAGGGUGCAAGCGUUAAUCGGAAUUACUGGGCGUAAAGCGCACGCAGGCGGUUUGUUAAGUCAGAUGUGAAAUCCCCGGGCUCAACCUGGGAACUGCAUCUGAUACUGGCAAGCUUGAGUCUCGUAGAGGGGGUAGAAUUCCGGUGUAGCGGUGAAAUGCGUAGAGAUCUGGAGGAAUACCGGUGGCGAAGGCGGCCCCCUGGACGAAGACUGACGCUCAGGUGCGAAAGCGUGGGGAGCAAACAGGAUUAGAUACCCUGGUAGUCCACGCCGUAAACGAUGUCGACUUGGAGGUUGUGCCCUUGAGGCGUGGCUUCCGGAGCUAACGCGUUAAGUCGACCGCCUGGGGAGUACGGCCGCAAGGUUAAAACUCAAAUGAAUUGACGGGGGCCCGCACAAGCGGUGGAGCAUGUGGUUUAAUUCGAUGCAACGCGAAGAACCUUACCUGGUCUUGACAUCCACGGAAGUUUUCAGAGAUGAGAAUGUGCCUUCGGGAACCGUGAGACAGGUGCUGCAUGGCUGUCGUCAGCUCGUGUUGUGAAAUGUUGGGUUAAGUCCCGCAACGAGCGCAACCCUUAUCCUUUGUUGCCAGCGGUCCGGCCGGGAACUCAAAGGAGACUGCCAGUGAUAAACUGGAGGAAGGUGGGGAUGACGUCAAGUCAUCAUGGCCCUUACGACCAGGGCUACACACGUGCUACAAUGGCGCAUACAAAGAGAAGCGACCUCGCGAGAGCAAGCGGACCUCAUAAAGUGCGUCGUAGUCCGGAUUGGAGUCUGCAACUCGACUCCAUGAAGUCGGAAUCGCUAGUAAUCGUGGAUCAGAAUGCCACGGUGAAUACGUUCCCGGGCCUUGUACACACCGCCCGUCACACCAUGGGAGUGGGUUGCAAAAGAAGUAGGUAGCUUAACCUUCGGGAGGGCGCUUACCACUUUGUGAUUCAUGACUGGGGUGAAGUCGUAACAAGGUAACCGUAGGGGAACCUGCGGUUGGAUCACCUCCUUA
Molecule: ribosomal RNA, 1540 nt
Filed under: Escherichia coli
Lineage: Bacteria; Pseudomonadati; Pseudomonadota; Gammaproteobacteria; Enterobacterales; Enterobacteriaceae
Description: bacterial SSU rRNA
Rfam family: Bacterial small subunit ribosomal RNA
Source: RNAcentral